AAAAUGAAAAACUCUUAUUGGCUAAUAAAAAUUGGUGGGGAUAAGCAAAACUUAAUCUCAACCGUUGGUAAACCUUAAUCUAGGUGAUGAAAUUUCAUUGGCUAAAGGUUGCCUCGUCUUUCUUAUUUUUCUUGUUUGUCUCAUUUUCUUCUCCUUACGGUUUACACAGAUCUUCACUUUCACUCUCUCUUUGUUUUAUUUGAUUCAUCCACCAAUUCUCACCGACCUAUCUCGCCAUCCCCGACAUCUCGCGCCACCAACGUCUUGUGCCAUAUCACCGUCGGAAUCUAUUUCUUGUUCUCUUUAAUCUUUGAUUUAUUUGGAUCUUUUAUGUGCUUGAGAUUCUAAUCGACAGUUUCUGUCUCUUUCAUUGUUUGAUUUUGAUUUUAUUAUUGUUCUUAAUAACAGAAUGAGACAACGUCAUGAAGAGGAGGAAGAAGAUCCGACGGAGGUGGUGCGGAGAUAAAAGAGGAAGAAGAGAUGCGGCGAGGUGAAUGUGACGAGCUUACGGUGAUGGAUCCCGCGGAGACAAUGAAUCGUCAGAUCUGAAGAAGCUGUGGUGUGGAUAUGGCAGAAGUUAGGGUCGUGGUGUGGAGGUGGAGCCAAGCACGAAUAAGAUAGAGGUGGCGGCUAGAUGAUUGAAGAUACCAACCUAGAAAUUUAGGUUUAGUUUCUAUUUUUUUCAAAACUUGGUUUAGCUUGGUUUAGUUUGGUUUAGUUUAAUAUACCAAUCUUCAAAUAUGUAACUAAUAUCGAUAUAUUAAGAUUUUAAAAUAUUUUUAUUUGUAUUUUUUUUUUAAUUUUUAAUACUAUAAAUAAUAACAAAAAAUAUACGCUAUUAAAG
This 844-nucleotide long non-coding RNA is filed under the name Brassica rapa (field mustard). Its description in RNAcentral is "long non-coding RNA (BRAP_LNC002156)". Lineage: Eukaryota; Viridiplantae; Streptophyta; Magnoliopsida; Brassicales; Brassicaceae. The record is from RNAcentral.